Long non-coding RNA from Capsicum annuum, 452 nucleotides. RefSeq lists it as uncharacterized. NCBI's taxonomy places the organism in Eukaryota, Viridiplantae, Streptophyta, Magnoliopsida, Solanales, Solanaceae. The transcript has 4 exons. The record is from RefSeq and is a predicted model, not a curated record.
GAUCAAACUGCUCAUCAUCAUCAUUCAACUUACUGAAAAUCUCCAGUAGCAAUCUUUUUUAAUUUUUGUUUUGGAUGGUAUCAAAGGUGUAAGAUUUGAAGUGGUGGAAAAAACAUCUUUCUCUAAUCCUCCAUUACCCAUAAUAUGGUGAUCGGUGGAAGUGCAAGUAAGUCUCACACGUCGACAAAGCCACCAGAGUUUAUCCAGCUUGAACCAUAUGUGGAGAAAAAUAGAUCGAAACAUCGAAACGAUCCCGCCAAGAUGAAGAAGCCGAGGAAAGUUGCUCGUAAAAGCUCUAAAAAGAUCAUCGAAAAUCUUCAAGGACUGUGGAGUGUUCGCAACUGACAAUGCAGAGUAUUUGAAUUGAGAUACGCUUCACUCCUUUAGAAUUAUGGAGUGGUCAAGAAAAAAAAAAGGUUAUGAUAGCGACAAUAAAGAUCCUCCAAGAUCAA